GAUGAAGAACGUAGCGAAAUGCGAUACGUAGUGUGAAUUGCAGAAUUCAGUGAAUCAUCGAAUCUUUGAACGCACAUUGCGCCCUUUGGUAUUCCUUAGGGCAUGCCUGUUCGAGCGUCAUUUAAACCUUCAAGCUAAGCUUGGUGUUGGGUGACUGUCCGCUUCACUGCGGACUCGCCUCAAAAUUAUUGGCGGCCGGUACAUUGGCUUCGAGCGCAGCAGAAACGCGAACUCGGGCCCGUCGUAUUGGCUCCCAGAAGCUAUCUUCACAAUUUUGACCUCGGAUCAGGUAGGGAUACCCGCUGAACUUAAGCAUAUCAAUAAGCGGAGGA
RNAcentral lists this unclassified non-coding RNA (332 nucleotides) under soil metagenome. Its description in RNAcentral is "partial contains 5.8S ribosomal RNA, internal transcribed spacer 2, and large subunit ribosomal RNA". The stretch from base 1 to 120 matches the Rfam family "5.8S ribosomal RNA", at positions 35 to 154 of the family's 154-position model. The record is from RNAcentral.